GCCAACUCGUGCUUAGCUUGCCUACAACUCGCGCCUAGCUUGCAAGUGGCACACAAGUGGACAAGUUGUGCAAGUUGUCCACUUGCAUCCUCAAAAUAUCCCGCUGCAGGUCCAUAUAUUUUUCCUCCUAAAAUGGCUGGGUCGGGACUUAGAAAAACCCCAUUAACGCCCUGAAAAAUUGCACGAUCUAGGCAGCAUGCAUUCUGCCCCAAAGUCAUCUAUGCAUCCCCAGCCCGAAUCUACCUGCGACCCUUGCCGAAUCUGCUUGCGUCCCCUAUCGCAAGCUAUUCCGUCCUUUUGAAACGCGUUACCCGCGCCAUCUUGCGAUCGCUACCGGGACGAAUCGAAUGCGAUCGCGUGAGGCAUAAGUCACUCCCCCACUGAAUUUGACGAUGCACUCAUCGCCAUAUAUCGCUGAAGCAUAGACCUUAUUUGCCAUAAGUCUAUCUCGUUUUCCCACCUUGUGCCAUGACAUUCCCGUGUCAUGCCAAGUUUCAAGUCAUGACCUUGCGAUCCGUGACAUUCUCCCCCACUCAAUCCGCUAACGUCCUCGUAGCGAAACAUGUUAGGUGCAUCCUCAUGCAACCUUGCAUUGUCUUUCACGUCCCUGGGCAUUAAAGUUCUCCCAACUUGCGGCACCAUCUCCUCGAUGACCGGGUUUCCACAGUGCCCCUUGCACCUCUUCCCGUUGCAACCUCUUGCAUGCCACCUUCGACACCAACCUUCACCCUCAGCACCUCUGCCUUGGUUCCUCAGAUGGACAACUCCUCCGGUUGUAGUGUCCUCACACUUGUCGAAGCUUUGAACCUUCGUGCACCCAAUUUCGGACUUCUUUGACAAUGCUUCCUCACUUUCCUUCUUUUUCAAUAGUUCCCUCGGCAACUCCGCGAGCAUGUCCUUAUCAUCUUCAAGGACUUCCGCUAACUGCAUCCUUGACAGUUGUUGUGUUUCCAUCUCCACAGGAACAGUUUCAGCACUCAUAGCAUUAAACAACUGGAAUGAAUUCAUUCGAACUUCAUCCUCAUCUUGGCUAUCUAUGGCCUCCGGUUUGCUCUCCGAAAUGGAAAUAGAUGACAAUGAUCCCAACUUAGGACAAUCCCUCAUUCGAUGUGGUCCUUUGCAAAUAAAGCAACCUCGAGGUGUAAAAUUACUCCUCUUCCUCUCAUCAUACUGCUUACUCCAAGUAGUUGGUUUGUCGCUAACGGGUUUGUAAUCAACUUUGGGAUUUUGCCUCCAAUCUGGCUUACUCCAUUGUAUAGCUCUCCCUGUAUCUUCCUUGUUAUCCCCAAAAGUUCCUUUGGCGGGUUUGAUAGUUUGAGCUUCGGUCUCAAAACUUUCUUCAAACUCCGUCAAGGAUUCGGCUACUGCAAUUGCCUCAUCAACGGUUUUGACAUCAUGACGUUGCAACUCUUGUCGUAUCCAUGUUGCACAACCGUCUAGAAAAUAGAAUAGCAACUCAUCCUCCGGCAUGGUUGGGAUUUGAAGCAUAAGGGUCGUGAAUUCUUUGACAUAGUCACGAAUUGUUCCCAUAUGUUUCAAUUCCCUCAAUUUCUUGCGCGCCUCAUAGACGACAUUCUCCCGGGUAGAAUUGCCUCUUUAUUUCCCUUUUGAACUCAUCCCAAGUAUCAACCCUACAAGACCCCCUUGCAAUUUCACCAUGC
Molecule: long non-coding RNA, 1661 nt
Filed under: Olea europaea subsp. europaea
Lineage: Eukaryota; Viridiplantae; Streptophyta; Magnoliopsida; Lamiales; Oleaceae
Source: RNAcentral